AUGGGGAACGUGACGUCGUCGGUGGCGGCGCGGCUGGCCUUCUUCCCGCCGGAGCCGGCGACGUACGAGGUGGCGGCGGAGGAGGGCGGGCUGCGGAUGACGGGGGUGCUGCCCGACGCCAACGUCGACGUGCACGCGCUGCCCACCAGGGCCGGGACGCGCGUCGUCGCCGCCUUCUGGCGCUACCCCACCGCGCGCCUCACGCUGCUCUACUCCCACGGCAACGCCGCCGACCUCGGCCAGAUGCUCGGCCUCUUCAUGGAGCUCCGCUCCCACCUCCGCGUCAACAUCAUGUGCUAUGACUAUUCAGGAUAUGGGGCCUCUACAGGAAAACCAUCGGAGUAUAACACGUACUACGACAUAGAGGCUGUCUACGACUGUUUGAAAAAGGAGUAUGGGAUAGGGCAAGAGGAUCUGAUCCUGUAUGGGCAAUCAGUUGGAAGCGGACCGACGUUGCACUUGGCCUCACGUUUGGAGAAACUAAGAGGGGUCGUCCUUCACAGCGGUAUUCUGUCAGGCAUACGCGUUUUGUAUCCAGUGAAAGUGACACUUUGGUUUGAUAUCUUCAAGAACAUCGACAAAAUAAAGCAGGUCGAAUGUCCAGUGCUGGUUAUACAUGGCACGGCGGACGACAUCGUUGACUUCUCGCACGGCAAGCGCCUAUGGGAGCUAGCGAAGGAGAAGUACGAGCCGCUGUGGGUCAAAGGUGGUGGCCACUGCAACCUGGAGACGUACCCCGAGUACAUCCGGCACCUGCGGAAGUUCGUGAACGCGAUGGAGAAGCUGGCGAAGGAGCGAGCGACAAAGGCGCCGCAGACACUGAUGAUCUGA
This 831-nucleotide ribosomal RNA is filed under the name Triticum aestivum (bread wheat). Its description in RNAcentral is "partial small subunit ribosomal RNA". Lineage: Eukaryota; Viridiplantae; Streptophyta; Magnoliopsida; Poales; Poaceae. The record is from RNAcentral.